ACAUGCAAGUCGAACGGUAACAGGUCUUCGGAUGCUGACGAGUGGCGAACGGGUGAGUAAUACAUCGGAACGUGCCCAGUAAUGGGGGAUAGCUCGGCGAAAGCCGGAUUAAUACCGCAUACGCCCUGAGGGGGAAAGUGGGGGACCGCAAGGCCUCACGUUAUUGGAGCGGCCGAUGGCUGAUUAGCUAGUUGGUAGGGUAAAGGCCUACCAAGGCGGCGAUCAGUAGCUGGUCUGAGAGGACGAUCAGCCACACUGGGACUGAGACACGGCCCAGACUCCUACGGGAGGCAGCAGUGGGGAAUUUUGGACAAUGGGGGAAACCCUGAUCCAGCAAUGCCGCGUGUGCGAAGAAGGCCUUCGGGUUGUAAAGCACUUUUGUCAGGGAAGAAAUCCUUUGGGCUAAUACCCUAGGGGGAUGACGGUACCUGAAGAAUAAGCACCGGCUAACUACGUGCCAGCAGCCGCGGUAAUACGUAGGGUGCAAGCGUUAAUCGGAAUUACUGGGCGUAAAGCGUGCGCAGGCGGUUGUGUAAGACAGGUGUGAAAUCCCCGGGCUUAACCUGGGAANUGCAUUUGUGACUGCA
Molecule: ribosomal RNA, 587 nt
Filed under: uncultured bacterium
Lineage: Bacteria
Description: bacterial SSU rRNA
Rfam family: Bacterial small subunit ribosomal RNA
Source: RNAcentral